GUGGGGAAUAUUGGGCAAUGGGGGCAACCCUGACCCAGCGACGCCGCGUGAAGGAAGAAGGCCUUCGGGUUGUAAACUUCUUUUAUGAGGUACGAAGGACGUGACGGUACCUCAUGAAUAAGCCACGGCUAACUACGUGCCAGCAGCCGCGGUAAUACGUAGGUGGCGAGCGUUGUCCGGAUUUACUGGGUGUAAAGGGCGCGUAGGCGGACUGGCAAGUCAGAUGUGAAAUACAGGGGCUCAACCCCUGAACGGCAUUUAAAACUGUUGGUCUUGAGUAUCGGAGAGGCAAGCGGACUUCCUAGUGUAGCGGUGAAAUGCGUAGAGAUUAGGAGGAACACCAGUGGCGAAGGCGGCUUGCUGGACGACAACUGACGCUGAGGCGCGAAAGCGUGGGGAGCAAACAGGAUUAGAUACCCUGGUAGUCC
RNAcentral lists this ribosomal RNA (428 nucleotides) under uncultured bacterium. RNAcentral describes it as "partial 16S ribosomal RNA". It matches the Rfam family "Bacterial small subunit ribosomal RNA", at positions 354 to 796 of the family's 1533-position model. The record is from RNAcentral.